UGGGGAAUAUUGCACAAUGGGCGCAAGCCUGAUGCAGCCAUGCCGCGUGUGUGAAGAAGGUCUUCGGAUUGUAAAGCACUUUAAGUUGGGAGGAAGGGCAUUAACCUAAUACGUUAGUGUUUUGACGUUACCGACAGAAUAAGCACCGGCUAACUCUGUGCCAGCAGCCGCGGUAAUACAGAGGGGGCAAGCGUUAAUCGGAAUUACUGGGCGUAAAGCGCGCGUAGGUGGUUUGUUAAGUUGGAUGUGAAAUCCCCGGGCUCAACCUGGGAACUGCAUUCAAAACUGACUGACUAGAGUAUGGUAGAGGGUGGUGGAAUUUCCUGUGUAGCGGUGAAAUGCGUAGAUAUAGGAAGGAACACCAGUGGCGAAGGCGACCACCUGGACUAAUACUGACACUGAGGUGCGAAAGCGUGGGGAGCAAACA
RNAcentral lists this ribosomal RNA (427 nucleotides) under uncultured bacterium. Its description in RNAcentral is "partial 16S ribosomal RNA". It matches the Rfam family "Bacterial small subunit ribosomal RNA", at positions 355 to 774 of the family's 1533-position model. The record is from RNAcentral.